AAUCCGGUGGCCUAGUGGUUAGAGCGUCCACCUCAGAUGCGAGUGGUCACCGUUUCGAACCCGGCCGAGUCA
This is a non-coding RNA of Potamilus streckersoni, 72 nucleotides long. The record is from the annotation of a GenBank genome assembly. NCBI's taxonomy places the organism in Eukaryota, Metazoa, Mollusca, Bivalvia, Unionida, Unionidae.